Molecule: ribosomal RNA, 425 nt
Filed under: uncultured bacterium
Lineage: Bacteria
Description: partial 16S ribosomal RNA
Rfam family: Bacterial small subunit ribosomal RNA
Source: RNAcentral
GUUAGGAAUAUUGGACAAUGGGCGCAAGCCUGAUCCAGCCAUGCCGCGUGAGUGAUGAAGGCCUUCGGGUUGUAAAGCUCUUUAGCCGAUGAUUAUAAUGACUGUAGUCGGAAAAUAAGCCCCGGCUAACUUCGUGCCAGCAGCCGCGGUAAUACGAAGGGGGCGAGCGUUAUUCGGAAUCACUGGGCGUAAAGCGUGCGUAGGCGGCUUUGCAAGUUGGGAGUGAAAGCCCAGGGCUCAACCCUGGAAUUGCUCUCAAAACUGCAAGGCUCGAAUUCGGGAGAGGAUAACGGAAUUGUCAGUGUAGCAGUGAAAUGCGUAGAUAUUGACAGGAACACCAGUGGCGUAAGCGGCUAUCUGGACCGAUAUUGACGCUGAGGCACGAAAGCGUGGGGAUCAAACAGGAUUAGAAACCCCAGUAGUCC